CCCCCCCCCCAAUUUUGGGUCCAGCUUCAGACCUGGCUUCCCUGCGGGUCUCAGACCCCGGCCCUGCUGCGUCCCCACCCUUUGGUCACCGGCACUCUGAGCGCAGGGCCCCGGCCGCAGAGGCCGCAGAGGCUGCAGAGGCUUACGGAAGGGCUGGCCCUGCUGUGCACACGGCCCGGUGGUCAGGCUGGGGGACCUGGACUAGCCAGAUCAGGACGGGACAGGACUGGACAGGACAGGGUGCGGGGACCUGAAUGGGACUGGACAGGACCGGACAGGUUCUCUCUCCACUUUGGCUGUCUCCCACGAGCACGCGCAGACUGCAGGGCCCAGGCUCGCCUCUCCCGGUGCUCGCAGUGACCAGGAGCGGUCCAGAGAAGCAAGGAAACUUGUCAAGGGUAUCAUAAGGAUCCUGGAGAUGACCGAACAUAUGUGGGUGGUGUGCACAGGUCACACGAGAACCUCGUGUCACUUUAUGUGAAGGAUGUGAGGACCUGUGGGUCCUUGGGGCCCUGGAGCUGAUCCCUCAUGGAUCCUAAGGAACAACUACGUAUGCACUCAGGGCUCUGAAACUUGGCGGAUGCUUGGUCCUGAUCAGCGGAUGAACAACUUCUUGGGAUCCCACUGGUGUCCCCGGAUGAGGCCAGAUGUAAUCUCUUGUAUGGACCUGUAGGGACUAGCCCCAGGGAAAGCCACGUCCAGCUUAGUUUUCCUGACCAGCCUUGCCUGUGGCCUGAGUCUCAAAGCUGAGCUGUGUCAUAAACCCUCAUUUGGGCUGGGCGGAGUGCUGGGUCCACAGAGAAGCUCCUGGAGUCACACAGAGCUGUCAUGGUUGAUGUCAUCUGCUUGUGGGGUCUGAGGUGGGGCAACAGGGCUGAGCUCUGGGAUCUGGACAGCCCUGUCCCCACCCCAGUCCCUUAUCUUGGAGGAGCUGAGAAGCCUAGGAACUGCAGCACACAGCCUCCAAACUGGACAGGUCCACAGUCUCCAGAUCAUGAG
RNAcentral lists this long non-coding RNA (999 nucleotides) under Heterocephalus glaber (naked mole-rat). RNAcentral's name for it is "lncRNA (ENSHGLG00100044368.1)". Lineage: Eukaryota; Metazoa; Chordata; Mammalia; Rodentia; Bathyergidae. The record is from RNAcentral.